RNAcentral lists this transfer RNA (75 nucleotides) under Bacillota bacterium. Its description in RNAcentral is "tRNA-Gln". It matches the Rfam family "tRNA". Rfam says of the family: Transfer RNA (tRNA) molecules are approximately 80 nucleotides in length. Lineage: Bacteria; Bacillati; Bacillota. The record is from RNAcentral.
UGGGGUGUAGCCAAGUGGUAAGGCACGGGUCUCUGAAACCUGGAUACGCUGGUCCGAUCCCAGCCACCCCAGCCA